AAGACACUAGUAAAGUAGUAAAUUACACGGCCUUGUCAAGGCUGAGUCGUGGGUUGAACCCCCACGUGUCUUG
RNAcentral lists this transfer RNA (73 nucleotides) under Pomoxis nigromaculatus (black crappie). RNAcentral describes it as "tRNA-Asp". It matches the Rfam family "tRNA". Rfam says of the family: Transfer RNA (tRNA) molecules are approximately 80 nucleotides in length. The record is from RNAcentral. Lineage: Eukaryota; Metazoa; Chordata; Actinopteri; Centrarchiformes; Centrarchidae.